Molecule: unclassified non-coding RNA, 381 nt
Filed under: uncultured Verrucomicrobiae bacterium
Lineage: Bacteria; Pseudomonadati; Verrucomicrobiota; Verrucomicrobiia
Description: contains 16S-23S intergenic spacer region
Source: RNAcentral
UCCGAGUUGACCCCGGCAGUCUCCCAUGAGUCCCCGGCAUUACCCGCUGGCAACAUGGAACGAGGGUUGCGCUCGUUGCGGGACUUAACCCAACAUCUCACGACACGAGCUGACGACAGCCAUGCAGCACCUGUGCAUCCUGGUAUUGCUACCUCGUCAGGUUUUACCCUUCUACUAGAUGCAUGUCAAGGCCAGGUAAGGUUCUUCGCGUUGCAUCGAAUUAAGCCACAUACUCCACCGCUUGUGCAGGCCCCCGUCAAUUUCUUUGAGUUUUAAUCUUGCGACCGUACUUCCCAGGCGGCUUGCUUAACGCGUUAGCUCCGCCACAAAAGGGGUCGAUUCCUUUUACAGCAAGCAAGCACCGUUUACGGCUAGGACUAC